This is a long non-coding RNA of Prionailurus viverrinus (fishing cat), 719 nucleotides long. RefSeq lists it as uncharacterized. Lineage: Eukaryota; Metazoa; Chordata; Mammalia; Carnivora; Felidae. The transcript is spliced from 5 exons. The record is from RefSeq and is a predicted model, not a curated record.
UGGGGUCAUCAGGCACCACCUUGGGGAAGGCUGGGCCGCUUUCUCCUGCUCCCCGGGCUUCCACUGAUUCCCUGUCCUCUGCUGCCAUCCAGAAAACUACAAUGCUGUCAACCGCAGCCAAAGGACAUCUUUUGAGGUGCUGACAUUUGGUCUCGCUGGAUUCCACAGGAGGCUGACUUCCAUGUAGCUGCAUCAAUUUCAGCAAAGCAGUAUAUUCUAAAGCAAAAUGGAAUCUAUGACUCCCAUUUCCCCUGCCCUGAGAAUGCCCUUGUGAGGCCAUUGAACGCAGGUACCACUAUUGCCUGACAAGCAAGGAACCUGAGUGACACAGGGAGGUGAAGAAAUUGGUGCCCGGGUGUGAAGGACAUGAUUAGUUGAGAUGGGUCUGGAAUGCAGGUUCUCAGCUCCUAACAUGGUCAUGUUAGACCAUAAGGAUGGCCUUUGGAUCUCCAACUCUAAGAGGUGGGCUUGCAGGUGGUGGUGCCUCUGCUAUUAGAACUGCCCCCAGCUGGCCUUUUGGAGCAUGCCGAAUGAGGUGAUGGAAGGUCUCCCCUCACAUUGUUGAAGUUGCUCUCAAAAAUCCUCCUUGAAUGUUUCAUCUGAUACUCUUCUUUAGUUUCACAGCUCAUUUCUUUGGAGAUCCUUCCCAGCUCUGUGGCCACCUCUCCAGUUGACUGGAAGCUUCUCUCCUGCCACGUCUCGGCAAGUCUUCACCCUUA